RNAcentral lists this ribosomal RNA (533 nucleotides) under Alternaria sp. AlFX-1. RNAcentral describes it as "eukaryotic LSU rRNA". The stretch from base 177 to 330 matches the Rfam family "5.8S ribosomal RNA". Lineage: Eukaryota; Fungi; Ascomycota; Dothideomycetes; Pleosporales; Pleosporaceae. The record is from RNAcentral.
AGGGAUCAUUACACAAAUAUGAAGGCGGGCUGGAACCUCUCGGGGUUACAGCCUUGCUGAAUUAUUCACCCUUGUCUUUUGCGUACUUCUUGUUUCCUUGGUGGGUUCGCCCACCACUAGGACAAACAUAAACCUUUUGUAAUUGCAAUCAGCGUCAGUAACAAAUUAAUAAUUACAACUUUCAACAACGGAUCUCUUGGUUCUGGCAUCGAUGAAGAACGCAGCGAAAUGCGAUAAGUAGUGUGAAUUGCAGAAUUCAGUGAAUCAUCGAAUCUUUGAACGCACAUUGCGCCCUUUGGUAUUCCAAAGGGCAUGCCUGUUCGAGCGUCAUUUGUACCCUCAAGCUUUGCUUGGUGUUGGGCGUCUUGUCUCUAGCUUUGCUGGAGACUCGCCUUAAAGUAAUUGGCAGCCGGCCUACUGGUUUCGGAGCGCAGCACAAGUCGCACUCUCUAUCAGCAAAGGUCUAGCAUCCAUUAAGCCUUUUUUUCAACUUUUGACCUCGGAUCAGGUAGGGAUACCCGCUGAACUUAAUA